GACGAACGCUGGCGGCGUGCUUAACACAUGCAAGUCGAACGGAAAGGCUCCAGCUUGCUGGAGUACUCGAGUGGCGAACGGGUGAGUAACACGUGGGUAAUCUGCCCUGCACUCUGGGAUAAGCCUGGGAAACUGGGUCUAAUACUGGAUAUGACCUUUCUCCUUAUGGGGUUUGGUGGAAAGUUUUUCGAUGUAGGAUGAGCCCGCGGCCUAUCAGCUUGUUGGUGGGGUGAUGGCCUACCAAGGCGACGACGGGUAGCCGGCCUGAGAGGGUGAUCGGCCACAUUGGGACUGAGAUACGGCCCAGACUCCUACGGGAGGCAGCAGUGGGGAAUAUUGCACAAUGGGCGGAAGCCUGAUGCAGCGACGCCGCGUGAGGGAUGACGGCCUUCGGGUUGUAAACCUCUUUCAGCAGGGACGAAGCGUAAGUGACGGUACCUGCAGAAGAAGCACCGGCUAACUAUGUG
This 467-nucleotide ribosomal RNA is filed under the name uncultured bacterium. RNAcentral's name for it is "partial 16S ribosomal RNA". It matches the Rfam family "Bacterial small subunit ribosomal RNA", at positions 28 to 507 of the family's 1533-position model. The record is from RNAcentral.